Molecule: ribosomal RNA, 565 nt
Filed under: uncultured bacterium
Lineage: Bacteria
Description: partial 16S ribosomal RNA
Rfam family: Bacterial small subunit ribosomal RNA
Source: RNAcentral
UGGGGAAUAUUGGACAAUGGGCGCAAGCCUGAUCCAGCCAUGCCGCGUGAGUGAUGAAGGCCCUAGGGUUGUAAAGCUCUUUUGUGCGGGAAGAUAAUGACUGUACCGCAAGAAUAAGCCCCGGCUAACUUCGUGCCAGCAGCCGCGGUAAUACGAAGGGGGCUAGCGUUGCUCGGAAUCACUGGGCGUAAAGGGUGCGUAGGCGGGUCUUUAAGUCAGGGGUGAAAUCCUGGAGCUCAACUCCAGAACUGCCUUUGAUACUGAGGAUCUUGAGUUCGGGAGAGGUGAGUGGAACUGCGAGUGUAGAGGUGAAAUUCGUAGAUAUUCGCAAGAACACCAGUGGCGAAGGCGGCUCACUGGCCCGAUACUGACGCUGAGGCACGAAAGCGUGGGGAGCAAACAGGAUUAGAUACCCUGGUAGUCCACGCCGUAAAACGAUGAAUGCCAGCCGUUGGGGAGUUUACUCUUCAGUGGCGCAGCUAACGCCUUAAGCAUUCCGCCUGGGGAGUACGGUCGCAAAGAUUAAAAACUUAAAUGAAUUGACGGGGGUCAUAGCUGUUUCCUG